GACAAGGAGCCGGGAUCAGGUGCCCGCUGCAAGGGCUUAAAAGGGAAGACGGUGCGAAUCCGUCGCGGUCCCGCCGCUGUAAACGGGGACGAACGCCGCAAAGCCACUGUCGCAACACUUGAGCGAUGGGAAGGGCGGCAAGUAGAGUGAUCCGUGAGCCAGAAGACCUGCCUGAGGCCCGAGGAAAAG
This 189-nucleotide non-coding RNA is filed under the name Desulfacinum hydrothermale. The record is from RNAcentral. Lineage: Bacteria; Pseudomonadati; Thermodesulfobacteriota; Syntrophobacteria; Syntrophobacterales; Syntrophobacteraceae. RNAcentral also lists the same sequence under 1 other name.